GAGAAACUGAACCGAAAACUCAACGUGCUGCAGCAAGUGAACAAAGAUAAAAAGUAGCUUCAGGCCCUGUAAAUACAAGCAGCGGCCCCUGCAUUGAUGAUAAGAGAUGUCUCUUUCUUGACAAGUGGAAGUAUGGAAUAUGAUUUUGUAACUUCAAAUCAAAUUGCUGAUCAUCCCUGACCUGAACCUCAUGCUCCACCCAGAAGUCAUAUGAGAAAAUAAGGAGAAAUAGCCUUUAAUAUGACUAAUUAAAUCAA
Molecule: long non-coding RNA, 257 nt
Organism: Sinocyclocheilus grahami
Lineage: Eukaryota; Metazoa; Chordata; Actinopteri; Cypriniformes; Cyprinidae
Exons: 3
Source: RefSeq, a predicted model, not a curated record